AUUAGCGGUCAUACCGCAGAGGAAACACCUGGUCUCUUCUCGAACCCAGAAGUUAAGCUCUGCAGGGAUUGGGAUAGCGCUGCCUUCUUGGGUGGAGCUUCUCGAACGCUGCUAAUU
This 117-nucleotide ribosomal RNA is filed under the name Candidatus Diapherotrites archaeon CG08_land_8_20_14_0_20_34_12. The record is from RNAcentral. Lineage: Archaea; Nanobdellati; Candidatus Iainarchaeota.